Molecule: long non-coding RNA, 907 nt
Organism: Ctenopharyngodon idella (grass carp)
Lineage: Eukaryota; Metazoa; Chordata; Actinopteri; Cypriniformes; Xenocyprididae
Exons: 5
Source: RefSeq, a predicted model, not a curated record
GCUAGAAAAAGUCAUCGAAAAAUCCCUAUGACUAAUGCACAGACUGACAGUCUGACUGGAAAGUGCAAACACAGACACCGAUUUAUCAGCACUCUAUAUAUAUCAGUGACAUAAAUAUCAGCUGCUGGACCAACUAGAUUUGAGGAACAGAAGUGCAAUUACUAUUUUAUAAAGUUACAUAAAGUUUAAACACCCAAAGAUGAGCUCGAAACUUUCUAUAAACCAAAACACUUUGAGUUGUGUAUCAAGGUGCUGUUGGAGACAGUGGGCUGCUACAGACCUGUGAAGGACCAGUGUUUUUGUAAGAAGAUAUAAGGCUGCAGCAGGGUGCUCCCCUGUGUACCAGUCCUGAAGACUUCUCCAGGCCAGAACAGAACCAUACGGGGGAAAACUGGCCUCAACUACAGAAGAAUUUCCACAGAGACACUAUCCUCUGAAAUACUUCAUGAAUGAAGAAAUGAUUUAGUCGAAAUGGUGCUUUCAGACACUUUAAACUGGACAUGAUGACUCUCCGGUGUGCAGCGUCAGUUUGACCAGAAUAAUGGUUAAAACAGAGAAGGGGACGGAGACACAGAUACGGGUUAACAGGUUUCUUGAAGGGAAUGCAGAGCGUGAACAGGAUGCAGGGAGCGUGGAUACCAGGAGACGUGGGAACGAAGACACACUGGAGAAACACUGGAGACGAGGAGACACAGGGAAUCACGGAGAACGCUGGAGACGGGUAGUUCGAGAGCUAGGGAGUCCAGGAGGUAAGUGAACACAGCAGAAGUUGCUGAUUGAUGCAGAACUGGCCACUGUACCUCGAAGUUCAAAAACACCACCACUGCCAUGCACCGGAGAGAUAAGAAUACCAGAUGGCUAACUCUGAAAACAGAGGAAGAUGGCAACAUCAUAUCUGCAGGAAAAC